This 110-nucleotide small nuclear RNA is filed under the name Microcebus murinus (gray mouse lemur). Lineage: Eukaryota; Metazoa; Chordata; Mammalia; Primates; Cheirogaleidae. The record is from RNAcentral.
GUGCUCGCUUCCAUAGCACAUAUACUAAAAUUGGAACGAUAGAGAGAAGAUGAGCAUGGCCCCUGUGCUUUAAGGAUGACAUGCAAAUUCGUGAAGCGUUCCAUAUUUUU